UGGGGAAUAUUGGACAAUGGGCGCAAGCCUGAUCCAGCAAUACCGCGUGUGUGAAGAAGGCCUUCGGGUUGUAAAGCACUUUCAGUUGGGAGGAAGUUGCAAAUGUUAAUACCAUUUGUAAUUGACGUUACCGACAGAAGAAGCACCGGCUAACUCUGUGCCAGCAGCCGCGGUAAUACAGAGGGUGCAAGCGUUAAUCGGAAUUACUGGGCGUAAAGCGUGUGUAGGUGGUUGGAUAAGUUAGAUGUGAAAUCCCCGGGCUUAACCUGGGAACUGCGUUUAAGACUGUUUAACUAGAGUACUGUAGAGGAUAGUGGAAUUUCCAGUGUAGCGGUGAAAUGCGUAGAUAUUGGAAGGAACACCAGUGGCGAAGGCGACUAUCUGGAUAGAUACUGACACUGAGACACGAAAGCGUGGGGAGCAAACAGG
RNAcentral lists this ribosomal RNA (429 nucleotides) under uncultured bacterium. Its description in RNAcentral is "bacterial SSU rRNA". It matches the Rfam family "Bacterial small subunit ribosomal RNA", at positions 355 to 776 of the family's 1533-position model. The record is from RNAcentral.